UACGUAGGGGCCUAGCGUUGUCCGGAAUUACUGGGCGUAAAGCGCACGUAGGCGGCUUUGUAAGUUAGAGGUGAAAGCCCGGGGCUCAACUCCGGAAUUGCCUUUAAGACUGCAUCGCUCGAAUUGUGGAGAGGUAAGUGGAAUUCCGAGUGUAGAGGUGAGAUUCGUAGAUAUUCGGAAGAACACCAGUGGCGAAGGCGACUUACUGGACACAUAUUGACGCUGAGGUGCGAAAGCGUGGGGAGCAAACAGG
RNAcentral lists this ribosomal RNA (253 nucleotides) under uncultured bacterium. RNAcentral's name for it is "partial 16S ribosomal RNA". It matches the Rfam family "Bacterial small subunit ribosomal RNA", at positions 524 to 776 of the family's 1533-position model. The record is from RNAcentral.